This 2318-nucleotide long non-coding RNA is filed under the name Rattus norvegicus (Norway rat). RNAcentral's name for it is "long non-coding RNA NONRATT012014". Lineage: Eukaryota; Metazoa; Chordata; Mammalia; Rodentia; Muridae. The record is from RNAcentral.
UUGAGUACAGUACACCUUGUACAAAAUGUCCUAGUCUGUCUUGGGAUCACCAAAAUAUUUUGUGUAGAUUUGACCAGCAAGCAAACACCCAGAAUCUCAAAUAAUUACACAUUCUAUUCAUCAUGACGAACAAAAGCAACUUGGAUUUCAUUCUUUCCCCCACCCCCUAUCUCUCUCUCUUCCUUCCUUCCUUCCUUCCUACACUGAGAACUGUGCCAUUGGCAUUUUCGGUGAGAUUGUCUCAUAAUAGCACUUUACCAUUAUAGCCUUUACAAAAGCCUGUGAACUAGCACAUGAAGUUCAUGCCAGCCGCACAUUUAAAAGGGUGGUUUUGAGAUCUCAAGUUUAGAAACCCCUGAGAAAAACUUACUAGAACCCUUGAGAUGUUCUCUAAUAUCUUAAUCUCAAUUUCCUUAGUGAUUAAACUGACAAUAAUAUUAAAUAACCAAAAUAUUAUAAACAUAUAUAUCAACAUUGAUAUGUAAAAGCAACAUUGAAACUAUUGUUGAUGUUACUUUAUUACUAACUGUAAUUGAUUUAAAAAAACAACCCCAGCUUCUGAGUCAUCUCCCUAAAGAAUAAAAGUUAUCUAAUUUUAUUUUUCCUAAAGUAUUUAUUUCAGCCAAAAAAGUUUUCUAAGUCCUCAAUGUUUACAGGUAGUUGUUUAAAAAUGUUUUCUAACAAAACACCGAGAGUCAGAAUUGUCACUAAAUCAUUUAAUAAGUUUGAACAUUUUAGCACAGGUGAAGAAGAAAUGUAAUUGGUUUAGCUUACGGUGCUAAGGAUGCAGAAGGAAUUCUGGCACCUUACCUUCUCCCUUAUAUCUGGAGUGCACAUGUGUACUCGUGUGUGUGUGUGUGUGUGUGUGUGUGUGUGUGUGUGUGUGUGUGUGUGUGUAUGGUACAGUGUAAAAAUAAACAGAGAGUAUCCCCAAAUUGCCAUCUAGAUGAUGAGGUUACACUGAAACCUUGCUUCCUGACAACACUACUAGGGAUUUCUCCAGAUAGACUCCAAGUGAUAGUCCUCGGAAUUCAACUUCAACAGCACUGUAAAAAGCUGGGCUAAGAGUGUUCUUCAUGGAUGAUUCACACUCACAUAAUGUGUAGGGCUUGGGGCUGGCUAGAUAAGUGACGUUAAUUGUCCUUUUUGCUAGUACCAGAAUAGUGCCUUCUGCAGGAAAUGCCUUCUGUACAUUUUCUACUUUAUAUAUCAAGGAAAAGGGCUGAAAUUCAUGCAGUCAAUAAUACUAGCAAAGAUAGUCUUAGCCAGAGAUGUGAAAAUAAGGCUUCUGUUUAGCUAAGACUUUGUUUUCCUGGUGUACCUAUCUUUAAAGAAUUUAAGACAGCUUUGUGGCUUUUAAGAGGCCUGCUUCUACUCUUGUAUUCCUGGUGUAGGUGUUGGCUUUUGUAGUAUUCAUGAUUGUUUAUAUCCACACAGUGUGGGCUUACUGGUUUCAGAUAUAUUCUGUUGUGUAAGCAUAAUUGAUUUUACACCUAUUGGACGGAGCUCUGCACCUGUCUCUUUAGCACUGCCACCAUAUCUGGUCUCUAAGCAGCCGUUCUGACCACUGACAGACCAUAGAGCUUACCUAGACUCCAGUUUGAUGCCACAGCCAGGCAGCCUGCAGUGCGUGGAUGUCUGUUGUUACACUCUGGUGGUGUCAUAGAUAGUGCGGUGGAGCAGGAGGUAAUGAAUAUCUGAGAUCCCUACCUCCAGUUCCAAACAGCUCAUGAGUGUGUUAAGAUGAAUAAGGACCAAGGAAUAUUCGUGACUCAUGAAGAGGGUGGCCAUGACUUGGAACUGGCAUGGUAGGGCCUGGCCUGCUGUAUUUCCUGCAGGUACACAGCGUCAAGGUGAGCAGUACAUCACCAACCCUGAUGGCAAAAGGCUUCGUGCUGCUUGCAGGGUGGGCUCCUGUACCCACGCUGCAUCAUGUCCACUGGCAGUGCCAAGCUGCCCCAUUGCCUUAUUUUGUUAUUGUCAUAUUUAAUAGCAGUUGUGCACAGAGGCCUAAAACCAUCCAGAACGUGUGCGUCUACAGAACCUUACAAGUAUCCUGUUGCAAGUACUUGUGCAAAUGUAAGGAAUGUGUUGUUUAGUAGCUAAUUUUGAUGUUUUUAAUGACAAUUGGUGUUCCUUUUUACAUGCAAAGUUGGACUCGGUUUUUUUUUUAGAAUUUGUAAAUAAAAACUUGCUGCUUUAACUGUUGUAAUAUAUGCUUUAUGAUGUAACCAUGUGUUUUUAAAUAAACCUUAUUAUGACUUACGAUGAUUUAGUACGCAUAUAUAUCAUACAAAACAAAGACACAUUUCAUACUU